RNAcentral lists this ribosomal RNA (730 nucleotides) under Dinophysis tripos. Its description in RNAcentral is "eukaryotic LSU rRNA". It matches the Rfam family "Eukaryotic large subunit ribosomal RNA", at positions 23 to 671 of the family's 3401-position model. Lineage: Eukaryota; Dinophyceae; Dinophysales; Dinophysaceae. The record is from RNAcentral.
ACCUGCUGAAUUUAAGCAUAUAAGUAAGCGGAGGACAAGAAACUAAACAGGAUCCCCAUAGUAAUGGCGAAUGAACCGGGAUAAACUCAGCAUGGAAAUUGGGGCCUUUGGCUUUGACUUGUAAUCUGGUGAGGCAUUGCCAACAGAGGCGCAUAUGUAAGUCUCUUGGAAAAGAGCAUCAACGAAGGUGAGAGUCCUGAUUGUCAUGUGCAGCCCCCCUGUGCACGGUGUGCCUUCUAAGAGUCACGUUCCUUGGGAUUGGAGCGCAAAUUGGGUGGUAACUUUCAUCUGAAGUUAAACAAUGGUUUGGGACCGAUAGGAAACAAGUACCAUGAGGGAAAGGUGAAAAGGACUUUGGAAAGAGAGUUAAAAGUGCCUGAAAUUGCUGAAGGGGAAGCGAAUGGAACCAGUAGUGCUGGGUGAGAUUGUCACAUGCUACAAGGAUUGGUUGCUGCCACAACGCAAGUGUGAUGGCAAUUUGUGAAUUGCUAGUGUGUGGUGUGUCUUACCUAGUGGGUCAUUGUGGGUUUAUGCAUUAAGAUAAGUCAAAGCAAGCGGGAGCAAGUUUACGAGUUUGUGAAUGUGUGUUGUUAUGCUUGUGCGUAAGCUUUAGUGUUUGUCUGGCUGCAGGGCUGUCCAUCCUCGAGCUGAGGGUUGCGAUGAGCAUAACCUUCUGCACAGAUCUUGACGAAAUGGUUUCAUUCGACCCGUCUUGAAACACGGACCAAGG